Cicer arietinum (chickpea) is the source of this 317-nucleotide non-coding RNA. Lineage: Eukaryota; Viridiplantae; Streptophyta; Magnoliopsida; Fabales; Fabaceae. The record is from RefSeq and is a predicted model, not a curated record.
UUUGAUGUUGACAGGGACACCACUUCAAAAUAAUCUACAUGAGUUAUGGUCUAUGUUGGAGUUUAUGAUGCCUGAUAUUUUUGCUUCUGAAGAUGUCGAUUUAAAAAAGUUACUUAGUGCAGAAGAUAGAGAUUUAAUUAGUCGUAUGAAGUCUAUCUUAGGGCCAUUUAUUUUGCGGCGUCUGAAAUCUGAUGUGAUACAGUAACUUGUUCAAAAAACACAGCAGGUUGAAUAUGUCAUAAUGGAAAAGCAACAGGAUCAUGCUUACAAGGAAGCCAUUGAGGAGUAACGUACAAUUUCACAAGCUCGAUUAACAA